AUCCGCGCCGAGUUUCAAAUCGGCCGGGGUGGGCGAGGUGCAUCUGUGCUCCGCAUCUCGCAGGCGUGGGAGCUUUGGGGGUCUGGUGAACAGAACAGACCGAUGGCCUCUCGGUGGCCCGGCGUGAGCACGUCCAUGCGCAGGAGAUCUCUCCAGGACCACCAGCAGCUGGAGGAGAGCGAUGAGCUGCCGCCUGCAGCUGGCCAUCUGGAGGCCUCCGGCGGAGCCCUGGGCUCCCUCUGCAGACAGUUCCAAAGGAGGCUGCCCCUGAGAGCAGUCAGCCUCAACCUAGGGGCGGGCCCCUCCUGGAAACGCCUGGAAACCCCAGAGCCAGAGCAGCAGGGCCUCCAGGCUGCAGCUCGCUCAGCUAAGAACGCCUUGGGUGCCGUGUCCCAGAGAAUCCAGGAGUCCUGCCAAAGUGGCACCAAGUGGCUGGUGGAAACCCAGGUGAAAGCCAGGAGGAGGAAGAGAGAGACACAGAAGGGCGGUAGCCCCCCAGCUCGCAGCCUGAGCCAGAGGAGCACCCGGCUUUCUGGAACCGGCCCUGCCUGCUCAACUCUGGGCCCCUGGGGGUGGGAGCGUCACCGCCGCUCCACCCAGAUGGGCCCACGUGCCCACCCUCUGCGGAGGUCCAGGAGGGAGGCCGCCUUCCGGAGCCCCUACUCCUCUACAGAGCCCCUCUGCUCCCCCCAGUGAAUCCGACAGUGACCUGGAGCCCGUGGGGGCAGGAAUCCAGCACCUCCAGAAGCUGUCCCAGGAGCUGGACGAGGCCAUUGCGGCUGAAGAGAGCGCUGACAUGGCCGUUUCUCUCCUUCGAGACUGACGGAGUGCCCUUCAGGGAAUGCCCUCCUCCCGAGCAUCUUUCCUCCCAAGCAUCUUUCCCAGCGUCCUCUUCCUCCUCUCCUCCUCCUCCUCCUCCUACAUGAGCGCGUGUGCAGAUUUGGAGGCGCGUUAAAGAACUGAGUCUCCUGGAGAAACCCACAGAGCUGACGCCCAGCAGAGUGGGCAGCGUGCCAUCUUCCUACCAGCUCGGACCUGAGCUGCUGACCUCUCUCACCCACCACCUUCCAGCUCCUCAUUCUGGGGGAAGGCUCUGGUGUCCUCACUCCCCCCUCCCCCCUGAAGCACAAUGAGGGGCAAGAAGAGAGCUCCUUCUUGCAGGAAGUGAGCCAUACCUGACCCCACACCCCCACACGUGGGAUCCAUACCUCCGCACCCUUGAGUUCCUGGAGGAAGCCCCCAGGAGCUGGCAGUGCCCCUGGGCCACUGCUGACAAGGACCUGACAAGCAGAGGCCCAGGUGGGGGCUGGUCAGGGGCCUCUGCUCUCCUGCUCGGACCACAUCUGAGCCCCGCAGAGACCGCCUGCCGCAGCCCAGGAGGUGACUCCCCGCAGACCCGGCUCCUGGGUGCACAGCUCCCAUGCCUGCCCCAAAAUAAGGGAUGGGAGAGAUAUCCAGGCUCUGAGACCCGGGGCCUACGGGUACCCAUUUAUGUUCUCAGCACCGGGCACUGUGGGUGGCAGCGAGGAGUAGCACUGCUCAGCAAUUUCUGCCCUUUGUAAAUUAUUUAAGAAAUCUGCCUUGUCAUUUUAUUAGAAAGAAAUCAGGGCAUAACUUCCCUCCAUAAUGUUGCUUUUCCAUAAUAAGACUGACAGAUUGAGGGAGUCUCAGAGGGAAGGGUGGGGGUGGGAGGGGUUAACCAUGGAACUUAUAUGCACAUGUGCAUAGCCCAUGGACACAGACAAUAGUGUGGUGAGGG
Myotis lucifugus (little brown bat) is the source of this 1759-nucleotide RNA transcript. It is a transcript of the gene named PICALM interacting mitotic regulator, with no coding region annotated. NCBI's taxonomy places the organism in Eukaryota, Metazoa, Chordata, Mammalia, Chiroptera, Vespertilionidae. The transcript is spliced from 5 exons. The record is from RefSeq and is a predicted model, not a curated record.